GGAGUCAGAUGGCAGCAUUACUUAUACUCUCUGGAAAUGAUACAGAGAAGAUUAGCAUGGCCCCUGCACAAGGUCAAAACGUAUAAUUAAUUUCAUGUUCAA
Molecule: small nuclear RNA, 102 nt
Organism: Otolemur garnettii (small-eared galago)
Lineage: Eukaryota; Metazoa; Chordata; Mammalia; Primates; Galagidae
Source: Ensembl